This 500-nucleotide ribosomal RNA is filed under the name uncultured Glomeromycotina. RNAcentral's name for it is "partial small subunit ribosomal RNA". It matches the Rfam family "Eukaryotic small subunit ribosomal RNA", at positions 591 to 1092 of the family's 1831-position model. The record is from RNAcentral. Lineage: Eukaryota; Fungi; Glomeromycota.
CCAAUAGCGUAUAUUAAAGUUGUUGCAGUUAAAAAGCUCGUAGUUGAAUUUCGGGGUCAGUAAGUUGGUCGUGCCUACGGUAUGUACUGGCUUUACUGAUUCCUCCUUCUUGAAGAACUGUAAUGUCAUUAAUUUGGUGUUGCAGGGAAACAGGACUGUUACUUUGAAAAAAUUAGAGUGUUUAAAGCAGGCUAACGCCUGAAUACAUUAGCACGGAAUAAUGAAAUAGGACGUUCGAUCCUAUUUUGUUGGUUUCUAGGAUUGACGUAAUGAUUAAUAGGGAUAGUUGGGGGGAUUAGUAUUCAAUUGUCAGAGGUGAAAUUCUUGGAUUUAUUGAAGACUAACUACUGCGAAAGCAUUUGCCAAGGAUGUUUUCAUUAAUCAAGAACGAAAGUUAGGGGAUCGAAGACGAUCAGAUACCGUCGUAGUCUUAACCAUAAACUAUGCCGACUAGGGAUCGGAUGAUGUUAAUUUUUUAAUGACUCAUUCGGCGCCUUACG